This 465-nucleotide ribosomal RNA is filed under the name uncultured bacterium. RNAcentral describes it as "partial 16S ribosomal RNA". It matches the Rfam family "Bacterial small subunit ribosomal RNA", at positions 28 to 507 of the family's 1533-position model. The record is from RNAcentral.
GACGAACGCUGGCGGCGUGCUUAACACAUGCAAGUCGAACGGAAAGGCCCUGCUUGCAGGGUACUCGAGUGGCGAACGGGUGAGUAACACGUGGGUGAUCUGCCCUGCACUUCUGGAUAAGCCUGGGAAGCUGGGUCUAAUACCGGAUAGGAGCCACUUUUAGCGUGAUGGUUGGAAAGUUUUUUCGGUGUAGGAUGAGCUCGCGGCCUAUCGGCUUGUUGGUGGGGUAAUGGCCUACCAAGGCGGCGACGGGUAGCCGGCCUGUGAGGGUGGACGGCCACAUUGGGACUGAGAUACGGCCCAGACUCCUACGGGAGGCAGAAGUGGGGAAUAUUGCACAAUGGGCGCAAGCCUGAUGCAGCGACGCCGCGUGGGGGAUGACGGCCUUCGGGUUGUAGACUCCUUUCGCUAGGGACGAAGCUUUUUGUGACGGUACCUAGAUAAGAAGCACCGGCUAACUACGUG